AAUCUCAGAAAAACAAAGAAAAUAUAUAUAUAUAUGUAUUUUUUUUAGUGUAAGUAUGUACCAUGCAAUAUUUGAGACAUACUUAUACUAAAAAAUUAUUUGUUGUUUAUCUGAAAUACAAAUUUAACUGGAUGUCCUGUAUUUU
RNAcentral lists this microRNA precursor (145 nucleotides) under Vicugna pacos (alpaca). Its description in RNAcentral is "miRNA (ENSVPAG00000016512.1)". The stretch from base 42 to 93 matches the Rfam family "mir-1302 microRNA precursor family". Lineage: Eukaryota; Metazoa; Chordata; Mammalia; Artiodactyla; Camelidae. The record is from RNAcentral.